AUUGAACGCUGGCGGCAGGCCUAACACAUGCAAGUCGAGCGGAUGAAGGGAGCUUGCUCCUGGAUUCAGCGGCGGACGGGUGAGUAAUGCCUAGGAAUCUGCCUGGUAGUGGGGGAUAACGUCCGGAAACGGGCGCUAAUACUGCAUACGUCCUGCGGGAGAAAGAGGGGGAGCUUCGGACCGCACGCUAUCAGAUGAGCCUAGGUCGGAUUAGCUAGUUGGUGGGGUAAGGGCCUACCAAGGCGACUAUCCGCAACUGGUCUGAGAGGAUGAUCAGUCACAUUGGAGCGGAGACAGGGACAAGAGGACUACGGGACGCAGCAGAGGGGAAUAUUAGACAGUGGGCGAAAGCCUUAUACAGCCGUGCCGCGUGUGAGAAGAAGGUCUUCGGAUUGUAAAGCACGUUAAGUUGGGAGGAAGGGCAGUAAGUUAAUACCUUGCUGUUUUGACGGUACCAACAGAAUAAGCACCGGCUAACUUCGUG
This 484-nucleotide ribosomal RNA is filed under the name uncultured bacterium. Its description in RNAcentral is "partial 16S ribosomal RNA". It matches the Rfam family "Bacterial small subunit ribosomal RNA", at positions 30 to 507 of the family's 1533-position model. The record is from RNAcentral.